Molecule: long non-coding RNA, 1435 nt
Organism: Drosophila navojoa
Lineage: Eukaryota; Metazoa; Arthropoda; Insecta; Diptera; Drosophilidae
Source: RefSeq, a predicted model, not a curated record
CGGUCUCCAAGUGCGGACCUCUGCAAAUGGAAAUGAACCUUAAGUACUUUCCCCAAAUGCUCUGCCGGGCAUCCUUCCUUGGUCGCAUGCCUAACAAUGUGAUAGCCCCAACCGACGACGUGUAUUCAAUUAAGUCGGGAGUCGCGAGUCGCACGUUGCAAGUCCGAGUCGAAGUCGCAGUCGCAGUCGCAGUCGCAGUCGAAAUGGCAACAGUGUUAGCUCGUUUGAUAAACGCAACUCGUAAAUCAUCGGCGAGGGCUGAGAGAUCCCCCUUGAAGUACCGCUUUGGCUGAUGUUGGCCACGUUUUCGUAGGCAGGUGCGGAAAAUUACUUUUUAUAUGCUCCCUUUUAGUGGUUUAUUAUGACAAAAACAAACGCGAGGCCAAAUUUGAGCGCACAUGCGAACGGGCGGGACGGACGGCACAUGCGCGACGUCCAAGCCAAGAAGUGUUCGCCUCUCUCACUCUCUCGCUCACAGUGCACGGGGUAGGGCCGAUAAAGACACAGACAGAAAGCGCUAUAAGCGCUAUAAACAUCAUAAAACAGCUAUAAAGAAGCCAAAACGAACAGAGAGAGAGAGAGAGAAGAAAACAAACAACCGCUAGCUGCACAACAUAAAUCAUCAAAUUGUUAGGAAGAUCCAUUAUAGCCCAUUACCAACGCCAGCUAACAGCCAACAGCCAACAGCUAACAGGCAACAGCCUACACCUGAGCUAUCGUCAUUAUCAUCAGCAUUGUCAUCAUCAUUCGCCAUCAGCAUUAUUAAAAUGCCGUUUUGCUUAAUUUUAUUUUAUUGUUUUUAAGAAAAAUUCAACCACAAAUACCAAAGGUGCUCAGCCAAAGAGUCUCAACUACGAAACACCAUUCCACUAAUCGGGUGGUCGCGCGGACACACAUACAGAAGACGAAGCAGAAGAAGAAGAAGAGGCAGCAGCAGCAGCAGCAGCAGCAGUAGCUGGGCCCAAAGCGACAUCAAAUACUCUAACAAGACGCUAACGAACACAAUGAGUAGCAGGCGAAUUCAAAUUUAUGAAUGUGAAUGAGAUACGCCAAAGAUACGAGAUACCAGGUUCGACUUCCACUUUGACUGCGAGACAGAGUCGCCUGAGUCGCCUGAGUCGCUGGAGUCCGUCCACUCCCAGAGCCGUAGCUGACCGACCGGGUGUGCACGUCCGUUUGUCGAGCGGUUCGCUUAGCGUUUCCUUGGAAGUGGAAAUGAAUUUGGAGGCGUUGAUAAUGGAGGUGGAUGAUAAAGCUAAUGCGUGUCAUGCCGGGCUACUGUUCAGCGGGCGAGCACACUCACAGUUUAUGAACAAUGAAAAUAUUAAUAAGCCUAUUAAUGAUCUGCUCGAAACACGGAAAUACAUACCGCCGCAUAAGGCGUUGCUGCAUGCACAUAUAUGUCUGCAUAUUAUACCAAAAACAAUUUAAUGAA